This 316-nucleotide ribosomal RNA is filed under the name Rhipicephalus sanguineus (brown dog tick). RNAcentral's name for it is "partial 16S ribosomal RNA". Lineage: Eukaryota; Metazoa; Arthropoda; Arachnida; Ixodida; Ixodidae. The record is from RNAcentral.
UCUGCUCACUUUUUUAAAUUGCUGUGGUAUUUUGACUAUACAAAGGUAUUGAAAUAAGAUUUUAAUUGAAUGCUAAGAGAAUGGAAUUUCAGAAAAAAACUUUUUUCAAGUUAAAAAUUGAAAUUUUUUUAAUUUGUGCAGAAACAAUUAUUAAUAUUAAGGACAAGAAGACCCUAUGAAUUUAUAAAUUUUAUUUAAUAUGUAACUACUAUUAAAAAAAUUUUAGCUGGGGCGGCGGAAAAAUAUUUAAAACUUUUUUAAAAUAAAAUGAUCCAUUAUUAAUGAUUAUAUGUUAAAUACUCUAGGGAUAACAGCG